RNAcentral lists this ribosomal RNA (500 nucleotides) under uncultured bacterium. RNAcentral describes it as "partial 16S ribosomal RNA". It matches the Rfam family "Bacterial small subunit ribosomal RNA", at positions 28 to 507 of the family's 1533-position model. The record is from RNAcentral.
GACGAACGCUGGCGGCGUGCCUAAUACAUGCAAGUCGAGCGGACUGAUUAAGAGCUUGCUCUUAUGACGUUAGCGGCGGACGGGUGAGUAACACGUGGGCAACCUGCCCUGUAGAUCGGGAUAACACCGAGAAAUCGGUGCUAAUACCGGGUAAUAUCUGAGAUCACAUGAUCUUAGGUUAAAAGAUGGCUCCGGCUAUCACUACAGGAUGGGCCCGCGGCGCAUUAGCUAGUUGGUAAGGUAAUGGCUUACUAAGGCGACGAUGCGUAGCCGACCUGAGAGGGUGAUCGGCCACACUGGGACUGAGACACGGCCCAGACUCCUACGGGAGGCAGCAGUAGGGAAUCUUCCGCAAUGGACGAAAGUCUGACGGAGCAACGCCGCGUGAGUGAUGAAGGGGUUCGGCUCGUAAAGCUCUGUUGUUAGGGAAGAAACAGUACCGAACGAACUAGGUCGGUACCUUGACGGUACCUAACCAGAAAGCCACGGCUAACUACGUG